AAUAUGGCAAAAUGGGCAAAAGCCUAAUGCAGCAACGCCGCGUGAAUGAUGAAGGUAUUAGGGUCGUAAAGUUCUUCGAUCAGAGAUAAUAAUGACAGUACAUGAAAAACAAGCCACGCCUAACUACGUGCCACCAGCCGCGGUAAUACGUAGGUGGCGAGCGUUGUCCGGAAUUACUGGGCGUAAAGGAUGCGUAGGUGGAUACUUAAGUGGGAUGUGAAAUCCCCGGGCUCAACCCGGGAACUGCAUUCCAAACUGGGUAUCUAGAGUGCAGGAGAGGAAAGCGGAAUUCCUAGUGUAGCGGUGAAAUGCGUAGAUAUUAGGAGGAACACCAGUGGCGAAGGCGGCUUUCUGGACUGUAACUGACACUGAGGCAUGAAAGCGUGGGUAGCAAACAGG
RNAcentral lists this ribosomal RNA (399 nucleotides) under uncultured bacterium. RNAcentral's name for it is "partial 16S ribosomal RNA". It matches the Rfam family "Bacterial small subunit ribosomal RNA", at positions 360 to 776 of the family's 1533-position model. The record is from RNAcentral.